UACGGAGGGGGCUAGCGUUGUUCGGAAUUACUGGGCGUAAAGCGCACGUAGGCGGGCCGGAAAGUCAGAGGUGAAAUCCCGGGGCUCAACCCCGGAACGGCCUUUGAAACUCCCGGUCUUGAGGUCGAGAGAGGUGAGUGGAAUUCCGAGUGUAGAGGUGAAAUUCGUAGAUAUUCGGGGGAACACCAGUGGCGAAGGAGGCUCACUGGCUCGAUACUGACGCUGAGGUGCGAAAGCGUGGGGAGCAAACAGG
Molecule: ribosomal RNA, 253 nt
Filed under: uncultured bacterium
Lineage: Bacteria
Description: partial 16S ribosomal RNA
Rfam family: Bacterial small subunit ribosomal RNA
Source: RNAcentral